GAGAUGAAGGAGGUGAGGAGGAGGGACAAAGUGAUGAAGGAGAUGAGGAGGAGGGACAAAGUGAUGAAGGAGGUGAGGAGGAGGGACAAAGAGAUGAGGAGGAGGGACAAAGUGAGGAAGGAGGUGAGGAGGAGGGACAAAGAGAUGAAGGAGGUGAGGAGGAGGGACAAAGUGAGGAAGGAGAUGAGGAGGAGGGACAAAGUGAUGAAGGAGGUGAGGAGGAGGGGCAAAGUGAUGAAGGAGGUGAGGAGGAGGGACAAAGUGAUGAAGGAGGUGAGGAGGAGGGACAAAGAGAUGAGGAGGA
This is a long non-coding RNA of Labrus mixtus (cuckoo wrasse), 304 nucleotides long. RefSeq lists it as uncharacterized. The record is from RefSeq and is a predicted model, not a curated record. NCBI's taxonomy places the organism in Eukaryota, Metazoa, Chordata, Actinopteri, Labriformes, Labridae. The transcript has 3 exons.